UACGUAGGUUGCAAGCGUUGUCCGGAAUUACUGGGUGUAAAGGGCGUGUAGGCGGAGAUGCAAGUUGGGAGUGAAAUCCAUGGGCUCAACCCAUGAACUGCUUUCAAAACUGCAUCCCUUGAGUAUCGGAGAGGCAAGCGGAAUUCCUAGUGUAGCGGUGAAAUGCGUAGAUAUUAGGAGGAACACCAGUGGCGAAGGCGGCUUGCUGGACGACAACUGACGCUGAGGCGCGAAAGCGUGGGGAGCAAACAGG
RNAcentral lists this non-coding RNA (253 nucleotides) under uncultured Eubacteriales bacterium. RNAcentral's name for it is "partial 16S ribosomal RNA". It matches the Rfam family "Bacterial small subunit ribosomal RNA", at positions 524 to 776 of the family's 1533-position model. The record is from RNAcentral. RNAcentral also lists the same sequence under 1 other name. Lineage: Bacteria; Bacillati; Bacillota; Clostridia; Eubacteriales.